This 433-nucleotide ribosomal RNA is filed under the name uncultured bacterium. RNAcentral's name for it is "partial 16S ribosomal RNA". It matches the Rfam family "Bacterial small subunit ribosomal RNA", at positions 29 to 507 of the family's 1533-position model. The record is from RNAcentral.
AGCGAACGCUGGCGGCAGGCCUAACACAUGCCAGUCGAACGAACUCUUCGGAGUUAGUGGCGGACGGGUGAGUAACACGUGGGAACGCGCCUUUAGGUUCGGAAUAACUCAGGGAAACUUGUGCUAAUACCGAAUGUGCCCUUCGGGGGAAAGAUUUAUCGCCUUUAGAGCGGCCCGCGUCUGAUUAGCUAGUUGGUGAGGUAAAGGCUCACCAAGGCGACGAUCAGUAGCUGGUCUGAGAGGAUGAUCAGCCACAUUGGGACUGAGACACGGCCCAAACUCCUACGGGAGGCAGCAGUGGGGAAUCUUGCGCAAUGGGCGAAAGCCUGACGCAGCCAUGCCGCGUGAAUGAUGAAGGUCUUAGGAUUGUAAAAUUCUUUCACCGGGGACGAUAAUGACGGUACCCGGAGAAGAAGCCCCGGCUAACUUCGUG